Molecule: ribosomal RNA, 207 nt
Filed under: uncultured bacterium
Lineage: Bacteria
Description: partial 16S ribosomal RNA
Rfam family: Bacterial small subunit ribosomal RNA
Source: RNAcentral
CGCGUAGGCGGAUGGCUUAGUCAGGUGUGAAAUUCCCGGGCUUAACCUGGGGGCUGCAUUUGAGACGGGUUGUCUAGAGUUUGGAAGAGGGUCGUGGAAUUCCCAGUGUAGAGGUGAAAUUCGUAGAUAUUGGGAAGAACACCGGUGGCGAAGGCGGCGACCUGGUCCUUGACUGACGCUGAGGCGCGAAAGCGUGGGGAGCAAACA